This 227-nucleotide ribosomal RNA is filed under the name Clostridioides difficile. Its description in RNAcentral is "partial 23S ribosomal RNA". It matches the Rfam family "Bacterial large subunit ribosomal RNA", at positions 2696 to 2925 of the family's 2925-position model. Lineage: Bacteria; Bacillati; Bacillota; Clostridia; Peptostreptococcales; Peptostreptococcaceae. The record is from RNAcentral.
GAUGGACGUACCUCUGGUGUACCAGUUGUCCUGCCAAGGGCAUGGCUGGGUAGCUAUGUACGGAAUGGAUAAGCGCUGAAAGCAUCUAAGCGCGAAGCCAACUUCAAGAUAAGAUUUCCCACCGCAAGGGUAAGACUCCAGAAAGACUAUCUGGUUGAUAGGUCGAAGGUGUAAGUGCAGCAAUGUAUUUAGCUUAUCGAUACUAAUAGGUCGAGGACUUGACCAAU